AGUUCCGAGGUGGUUCACGCAAGAUUGCAAAUCUUGAGAAGUCGGCUAAUUCCCGACCGGGGCUU
RNAcentral lists this transfer RNA (65 nucleotides) under Parascombrops philippinensis (sharptooth seabass). RNAcentral describes it as "tRNA-Cys". The record is from RNAcentral. Lineage: Eukaryota; Metazoa; Chordata; Actinopteri; Acropomatiformes; Acropomatidae.